AAGGAGGAAAGGUCGGAG
Molecule: unclassified non-coding RNA, 18 nt
Filed under: Chlamydomonas reinhardtii
Lineage: Eukaryota; Viridiplantae; Chlorophyta; Chlorophyceae; Chlamydomonadales; Chlamydomonadaceae
Description: small RNA Cre_0118
Source: RNAcentral